UCCCUAUUUUCUAGAUUACAACUAGAACUAACUAGAACUAGAACUAGAUGAACUAGAACUAGAACUAGAUGAACCAGAGGGAUCCUCUCUACUUGGAUGAAGAAUUGAAACCCUAACUUUGAUUCUGUAGAAGAGGUAUGCCUCCAGAGGCUAGGGGGCCUUGCUUAUAUAGUCUUUUCAGAUGAAUCUGGGCCGUCGGAUCAAACCGACAUUAUUCGCAUGGUUUUCCUUGAUCCCU
This 238-nucleotide long non-coding RNA is filed under the name Sorghum bicolor (sorghum). RNAcentral's name for it is "long non-coding RNA (SBIC_LNC007972)". The record is from RNAcentral. Lineage: Eukaryota; Viridiplantae; Streptophyta; Magnoliopsida; Poales; Poaceae.